Molecule: ribosomal RNA, 465 nt
Filed under: uncultured bacterium
Lineage: Bacteria
Description: partial 16S ribosomal RNA
Rfam family: Bacterial small subunit ribosomal RNA
Source: RNAcentral
GACGAACGCUGGCGGCGUGCUUAACACAUGCAAGUCGAACGGAAAGGCCCUGCUUGCAGGGUACUCGAGUGGCGAACGGGUGAGUAACACGUGGGUGAUCUGCCCUGCACUUCGGGAUAAGCCUGGGAAACUGGGUCUAAUACCGGAUAGGAGCCAUUUUUAGUGUGAUGGUUGGAAAGUUUUUUCGGUGUAGGAUGAGCUCGCGGCCUAUCAGCUUGUUGGUGGGGUAAUGGCCUACCAAGGCGGCGACGGGUAGCCGGCCUGAGAGGGUGGACGGCCACAUUGGGACUGAGAUACGGCCCAGACUCCUACGGGGGGCCGCAGUGGGGAAGAUUGCACAAUGGGCGCAAGCCUGAUGCAGCGACGCCGCGUGGGGGAUGACGGCCUUCGGGUUGGAAACUCCGUUCGCUAGGGACGAAGCUUUUUGUGACGGUACCUAGAUAAGAAGCACCGGCUAACUACGUG